UGCUCGCGACCGCGCCUGCGCGCCGCACGGCCGCACCACGCAGUGACGUUAUCCCAGUUGCCAUAUUACCACCACCUCAAACAACUCGCAACCCUGUGGCCCCUUAGGGCUGUCUCCAGAACGAGCAUAGAUAUAUUUUGAUUCUCCUCGGAUGGGAUUCACUUGCCUGUACAGAUGGGGAGUACUGAGACAAGAAAGUAUCGCUGUCUUCCAACAACGUGUGCUUCUUAAAGCGCCCUUCAAAAGAAUAUUAUUACAAGUCAUCACUGUCCUGUGAAGAAAAAUUAUGGCAUCCCUCAUGACGUUAACGGACAAGCAUUGAACUACCUACAAAAUACGGUCACAAAAUAAGUCUGCUGCUAAUUGGUG
This is a long non-coding RNA of Pectinophora gossypiella (pink bollworm), 369 nucleotides long. RefSeq lists it as uncharacterized. The transcript has 3 exons. NCBI's taxonomy places the organism in Eukaryota, Metazoa, Arthropoda, Insecta, Lepidoptera, Gelechiidae. The record is from RefSeq and is a predicted model, not a curated record.